RNAcentral lists this ribosomal RNA (1434 nucleotides) under Lactiplantibacillus pentosus. RNAcentral describes it as "bacterial SSU rRNA". It matches the Rfam family "Bacterial small subunit ribosomal RNA". The record is from RNAcentral. Lineage: Bacteria; Bacillati; Bacillota; Bacilli; Lactobacillales; Lactobacillaceae. RNAcentral also lists the same sequence under 1 other name.
AUGCAAGUCGAACGAACUCUGGUAUUGAUUGGUGCUUGCAUCAUGAUUUACAUUUGAGUGAGUGGCGAACUGGUGAGUAACACGUGGGAAACCUGCCCAGAAGCGGGGGAUAACACCUGGAAACAGAUGCUAAUACCGCAUAACAACUUGGACCGCAUGGUCCGAGUUUGAAAGAUGGCUUCGGCUAUCACUUUUGGAUGGUCCCGCGGCGUAUUAGCUAGAUGGUGGGGUAACGGCUCACCAUGGCAAUGAUACGUAGCCGACCUGAGAGGGUAAUCGGCCACAUUGGGACUGAGACACGGCCCAAACUCCUACGGGAGGCAGCAGUAGGGAAUCUUCCACAAUGGACGAAAGUCUGAUGGAGCAACGCCGCGUGAGUGAAGAAGGGUUUCGGCUCGUAAAACUCUGUUGUUAAAGAAGAACAUAUCUGAGAGUAACUGUUCAGGUAUUGACGGUAUUUAACCAGAAAGCCACGGCUAACUACGUGCCAGCAGCCGCGGUAAUACGUAGGUGGCAAGCGUUGUCCGGAUUUAUUGGGCGUAAAGCGAGCGCAGGCGGUUUUUUAAGUCUGAUGUGAAAGCCUUCGGCUCAACCGAAGAAGUGCAUCGGAAACUGGGAAACUUGAGUGCAGAAGAGGACAGUGGAACUCCAUGUGUAGCGGUGAAAUGCGUAGAUAUAUGGAAGAACACCAGUGGCGAAGGCGGCUGUCUGGUCUGUAACUGACGCUGAGGCUCGAAAGUAUGGGUAGCAAACAGGAUUAGAUACCCUGGUAGUCCAUACCGUAAACGAUGAAUGCUAAGUGUUGGAGGGUUUCCGCCCUUCAGUGCUGCAGCUAACGCAUUAAGCAUUCCGCCUGGGGAGUACGGCCGCAAGGCUGAAACUCAAAGGAAUUGACGGGGGCCCGCACAAGCGGUGGAGCAUGUGGUUUAAUUCGAAGCUACGCGAAGAACCUUACCAGGUCUUGACAUACUAUGCAAAUCUAAGAGAUUAGACGUUCCCUUCGGGGACAUGGAUACAGGUGGUGCAUGGUUGUCGUCAGCUCGUGUCGUGAGAUGUUGGGUUAAGUCCCGCAACGAGCGCAACCCUUAUUAUCAGUUGCCAGCAUUAAGUUGGGCACUCUGGUGAGACUGCCGGUGACAAACCGGAGGAAGGUGGGGAUGACGUCAAAUCAUCAUGCCCCUUAUGACCUGGGCUACACACGUGCUACAAUGGAUGGUACAACGAGUUGCGAACUCGCGAGAGUAAGCUAAUCUCUUAAAGCCAUUCUCAGUUCGGAUUGUAGGCUGCAACUCGCCUACAUGAAGUCGGAAUCGCUAGUAAUCGCGGAUCAGCAUGCCGCGGUGAAUACGUUCCCGGGCCUUGUACACACCGCCCGUCACACCAUGAGAGUUUGUAACACCCAAAGUCGGUGGGGUAACCUUUUAGGAACCAGCC